This 256-nucleotide ribosomal RNA is filed under the name uncultured bacterium. RNAcentral describes it as "partial 16S ribosomal RNA". It matches the Rfam family "Bacterial small subunit ribosomal RNA", at positions 333 to 605 of the family's 1533-position model. The record is from RNAcentral.
CAACCUACGGGGGGCAGCAGUGGGGAAUAUUGGGCAAUGGGCGCAAGCCUGACCCAGCAACGCCGCGUGAAGGAAGAAGGCUUUCGGGUUGUAAACUUCUGUUGUCAGGGACGAAGCACGUGACGGUACCUGACGAAUAAGCCACGGCUAUCUACGUGACAGCAGCCGCGGUAAUACGUAGGUGGCAAGCGUUAUCCGGAUUUACUGGGUGUAAAGGGCGUGUAGGCGGGGAAGCAAGUCAGAUGUGAAAACCACG